CUCAGAUUGAACGCUGGCGGCAUUGCUUUACACAUGCAAGUCGAACGGCAGCACGGGCUUCGGCCUGGUGGCGAGUGGCGAACGGGUGAGUAAUGCAUCGGAACGUACCGUGUAAUGGGGGAUAACGUAGCGAAAGUUACGCUAAUACCGCAUACGCCCUGAGGGGGAAAGUGGGGGACCGCAAGGCCUCACGUUAUACGAGCGGCCGAUGUCGGAUUAGCUAGUUGGUGGGGUAAAGGCCUACCAAGGCGACGAUCCGUAGCGGGUCUGAGAGGAUGAUCCGCCACACUGGGACUGAGACACGGCCCAGACUCCUACGGGAGGCAGCAGUGGGGAAUUUUGGACAAUGGGGGCAACCCUGAUCCAGCAAUGCCGCGUGAGUGAAGAAGGCCUUCGGGUUGUAAAGCUCUUUUGUCAGGGAAGAAACAGCAGCUCUAACACAGUCUGCGAAUGACGGUACCUGAAGAAUAAGCACCGGCUAACUACGUG
This 489-nucleotide ribosomal RNA is filed under the name uncultured bacterium. RNAcentral describes it as "bacterial SSU rRNA". It matches the Rfam family "Bacterial small subunit ribosomal RNA", at positions 23 to 507 of the family's 1533-position model. The record is from RNAcentral.